GAUCAUGGCUCAGGAUGAACGCUAGCUACAGGCUUAACACAUGCAAGUCGAGGGGCAGCAUGAGAUUAGCUUGCUAAUCUUGAUGGCGACCGGCGCACGGGUGAGUAACGCGUAUCCAACCUUCCCCCUACUCAGGCAUAGCCCGGUGAAAACCGGAUUAACUCCUGAUAGUUUCACUAGAUGGCAUCUGACGGUGAAUAAAGCUCAGCGGUAAGGGAUGGGGAUGCGUCUGAUUAGCUUGUUGGCGGGGUAACGGCCCACCAAGGCGACGAUCAGUAGGGGUUCUGAGAGGAAGGUCCCCCACAUUGGAACUGAGACACGGUCCAAACUCCUACGGGAGGCAGCAGUGAGGAAUAUUGGUCAAUGGGCGCGAGCCUGAACCAGCCAAGUAGCGUGCAGGAAGACGGCCCUAUGGGUUGUAAACUGCUUUUGUGCGGGAAUAAAGUCAGGGACGUGUCCCUGUUUGCAUGUACCGCAAGAAUAAGGACCGGCUAAUUCCGUGCCAGCCGCUGC
Molecule: ribosomal RNA, 513 nt
Filed under: uncultured bacterium
Lineage: Bacteria
Description: bacterial SSU rRNA
Rfam family: Bacterial small subunit ribosomal RNA
Source: RNAcentral